CUGGCGGCGGCGCCAUUUUGAAUUGGCUGAGGGUCGGAGGCGGCGGCUGCCGAGCAGGGUUCCGCGUCCCCCGAGGGAGAAGCCGCGAGGAAGGAGCGGACAUGGCCGCGAAUAGGAACUUGAAGCAAGUGCGGAUCGAAAACAGCUCCCCGGCGGUGCCGCUGGGCAUGGUGGGGGGCGGCGGCGGCGGCAACCUGAAAGGAUUGCGCGGCCUAGAAGCGGAGAGUGAGGCGGCGGCGGCCAUGGCUCUGGCGCCGAGCAAAGAAGGCGGCGGAGAUGAGGAGCGGGAGGUUGGGUUCACCAUUGACAUCAAGAGCUUUCUCAAACCUGGCGAGAAGAGCUACACGCAGCGUUGCCGGCUGUUCGUGGGGAAUCUGCCUACUGAUAUCACCGAGGAGGAUUUCAAGCGCCUUUUCGAGCGCUACGGGGAGCCCAGCGAGGUCUUCAUCAAUCGGGACCGCGGCUUCGGCUUCAUCCGCCUGGAAUCCAGGACCUUGGCUGAAAUAGCAAAGGCAGAACUUGAUGGUACUAUUUUGAAGAGCAGACCGCUUCGAAUUCGAUUUGCUACCCAUGGAGCUGCCUUGACUGUGAAGAAUCUGUCGCCUGUGGUUUCCAAUGAGCUGCUGGAACAAGCAUUCUCGCAGUUCGGGCCGGUGGAAAGAGCGGUUGUUGUAGUCGAUGAUCGCGGCAGAGCUACAGGGAAAGGUUUUGUGGAGUUUGCAGCAAAACCUCCGGCACGGAAAGCUCUAGAGAGGUGCAGUGAUGGGGCAUUCUUGCUUACAACAACUCCUCGACCUGUUGUUGUAGAACCAAUGGAGCAAUUUGAUGAUGAGGAUGGACUCCCUGAGAAGCUAAUGCAAAAAACACAACAGUACCACAAGGAAAGAGAACAGCCUCCACGCUUUGCUCAGCCUGGAACAUUUGAGUUUGAGUAUGCUUCACGGUGGAAGGCUCUUGAUGAGAUGGAAAAGCAGCAGCGGGAACAGGUUGACAGGAACAUUAGAGAAGCCAAAGAGAAACUUGAGGCAGAAAUGGAAGCAGCUAGACAUGAGCAUCAGCUAAUGCUGAUGAGGCAAGAUCUCAUGCGUCGUCAGGAAGAAUUGAGGCGCUUGGAAGAGCUUCGAAACCAAGAACUUCAAAAACGCAAGCAGAUACAGCUGAGACAUGAAGAAGAGCACAGACGUCGGGAAGAGGAGAUGCUUCGCCAGAGGGAACAGGAGGAAUUACGACGACAGCAGGAGGGAGGAUUUAAGCCAAAUUUCAUGGACAAUGUUACUAUUAAAAUCUUAAAAAUGCAGAUGAAGACUGGCUUGUGCAGAAUCCUUCUGGUAUCUUAUGCAGACAAAAGAGAAUCCUAAACUAGGUUUUAGUACAAGGUUUCAAUGGAAGCCGCUGGUGGCUGCCCACCCUCAGAACUGAGGUUGUUACAUUGUGAUGAUGUGCAAAAUGCUGCUCUGCACCUUGGACAAGGACCAUCAGGACAGGCCAGACCUUUGAGACCUGAGGGAAAAGGGCUGUUUGAAAUGACAAAAAAGAACACACACAGCUUGGAGGUGGUGUCCUCCACCAAUACCUCAGCUUGAAAAAGACAUAAGAAUGUGAAUACAUCUGCUUGUGAGCUCCAAGUCCUCUUCCUACAUGAGGAGACAAGUUACAGCUUUUGUGAUGUUACUGUCUUCAGCCUCUGGCACAGAAGGUGAUGCCAGUUCAGCAUUUCAUAGCAGAGCUGAUGUUGGCCUGCUUUGAUGUGUAACUGAGGUACUGAUGCCCUUUUCAUCUAGACUGCACUCCAGGCAGAUUUCCUUUUUAGAAACAAUAGUGUUAAGGGAAAUGGGUGUAACUAAACUAAAAGGAUUAAAGUUUGUAUGUUCUACAAGAACAAUAAGAGUAAAUGAUAUAUUAAAUGACUGCUCCUUGGUUUAACUGAUUGCUGUUGCACUUUAAAAAAGCCUUUUAAAAAGUAAGAAAAUAUUUUUGAGCCCUACAAUAUAUGACAAAAAAUAGGAAAGUGGUAGGGUUUAAAGAAAAAGCAGUAGUGUGGAUUGUGUUUAUAUUGCAGUAGUUUAGAAGAAUAUGAAAGUAUUAAUUACCUAGAGAAAAAUGGUAUGAGGCAGUGACAGCUGAAAAGAACUGGAAGGAAAUGCUAAUCACAGGGGAGAUUACAGCUGCAGUAAGUUGUCUGUGCUGUUGAGUAAGGAGUUAUGCUACAAAUGCCAGCUGUCUUAAUGUAGCUCAAUAAAAAAAAGAAAAAACAUGAAGAAUGAAAAAUUAAUUUUACGUGAUGUGAUUUGAACACUGGCCUGUAACAUACCAUGAGGGUUUUUUUAAAAUUUCUAUAGCUGUUGUAGAACUGUUUCAAAUUAGUAACAGGAUGUUUAUUUUUUUAUUUCCCGAAAUCAGCAAUGCAGUGGACAUGAAUUGAAGAUUUGACUGGAACCUCACAGUUAAAUCCUGCAGUGGGAACUGAAGUAAGCUGAUGCAGUUGUAGAUCUUGGUGGUGAAGAAGCUUUGCAGAGGCUGAUGUGGGUCCCGAGGGACAACUGAAGAUGAAGGUGUCCACCCCCAUGCUGGGCUCCAUUAGAAGAUCAUGGCUGAGCAGGGGCCAGAAGAGCAAUCUCUCAGUUCAGCACUUCUGAGACUGCAGCUGAAACACUGUGCCCAGUUCUGGGCUCUUGAAGACAAGAAGAUGGAAGCCAUUGGGCAGUCAGAAGGCUGUGGAGCACAGGAGCCACAGGGGCAGGCAGCAGGGGUUCUUCCAGCUGGAGAGCAGGAGGUAGGGGUGGUUAAGAGAUCCUGUUAAUCUGGCUGCGUAAGAGAAGCACGUAGAGAAGAUGGAGCCAGGCUCAUGGCAGUGGUGCACAGUAUGGUGGCAGCUUUGUUCCACUGUUUCAGUGCAUGGCAGUGGUGCACCAUGCUACUAAUAAAAGCAGUACAAGGCAGUACCGUGUGGCUGUACUUACCUGGACUCCCUGCACUGUGGAACCAUUGGGGGCUUCCUGGUAAUCCUUUGGUUUCAGGAAGGGUGGAUGCAGAGGACUUGGUCUGGAGGUUCACUUGUGGUUUUAGGGAUCUUAACCAUGCUAUUCACUGAAAGAACUACUUUGAUAUUGACACAGCAGAGCUGACGGAUCUAUAAAGGUGAGGGAACACCCAAAGUUUUAUAUCUCCUGUGCAAGCAUACAGGUCUCAAGCAAUCUUGUAAAGCCUUUUUGAGAAAAACUGUCAGCACAAUCUUUACAGGUGGGAGGGGCUGGGACAGCACCUUCCCCUCUCCCCCACUGGAAGGCUUAUUCAGUGUAGGACAUGCAGCUGCUCUAACAGGGCUUUCUUCCCAAAUUCAUCAAACUGUUCUUGGCUAGGGAAAGUCCAUACAAGUAACAGCUACAGGGUGCAAGACUUCUCAUCAGGAAGUGGGAGUCUGCACUACAGAUUGAGAUGUCACCACAUGGGUAACCCUGUCCCCUCAAGCUCUGGUGGCCCAUGCCCACACAGUUGCAGUGAAUCCAGUUUUGGAACAGGCCCUCAUCUCCCUGGGUGUGUAACAAUGUCUUCAGUUCCCAUUUGCAUGGUUUGGGUUUCUGAGCAGCAGAGCUGUGCCUUCCCUUAAGAGCAAGAGGCACAGCAACAGAGGGAGACAAUGGGAAGGUCUGACCCCUCUACUGUAACUGCAGCAGUGUGACCAGUAACUAACUGAUCAGAGGAGUUCCUUACACUUCAGAUCAUGCAGGAACUAUUACAGACAUUCUGGAAAAAGAUUCAUUUCUAGUUACCAUGCAUGACUGGUUUGCUGUGGAAAAACAGGAGACCUGAAGUCAGAAAGAACCAUCCUCUGUCUGUUCCUUCCUGCUGUCUGCUAUACUUGAGGUAUCUGAGCUUUGAGAAAGCCUUUUAAAGCUUAA
This is an RNA transcript of Melozone crissalis (California towhee), 3899 nucleotides long. It is a transcript of the gene named paraspeckle component 1, with no coding region annotated. The transcript has 9 exons. NCBI's taxonomy places the organism in Eukaryota, Metazoa, Chordata, Aves, Passeriformes, Passerellidae. The record is from RefSeq and is a predicted model, not a curated record.